GAUGAACGCUGGCGGCGUGCCUAAUACAUGCAAGUCGAGCGAACAGACGAGGAGCUUGCUCCUCUGACGUUAGCGGCGGACGUGUGAGUAACACGUGGAUAACCUACCUAUAAGACUGGGAUAACUUCGGGAAACCGGAGCUAAUACCGGAUAAUAUAUUGAACCGCAUGGUUCAAUAGUGAAAGACGGUUUUGCUGUCUCUUAUCGAUUGAUCCGCGCCGCAUUAGCUAGUUGGUAAGGUAACGGCUUACCAAGGCAACGAUGCGUAGCCGACAUGAUAGGGUGAUCGGCCACACUGGAAAUGAGACACGGAACAGAGUACGACGGGAGGCAGCAGUAGGGAAUCUGACGCAAUGGGCGAAAGCCUGACGGAGCAAAGCCGCGUGAGAGAUGAAGGUCUUCGGAUCGUAAAACUCUGUUAUUAGGGAAGAACAAAUGUGUAAGUAAAUAUGCACGUCUUGACGGUAACUAAUCAGAAAGCCACGGCUAACUACGUG
RNAcentral lists this ribosomal RNA (497 nucleotides) under uncultured bacterium. RNAcentral describes it as "partial 16S ribosomal RNA". It matches the Rfam family "Bacterial small subunit ribosomal RNA", at positions 28 to 507 of the family's 1533-position model. The record is from RNAcentral.